This 502-nucleotide unclassified non-coding RNA is filed under the name uncultured Diversispora. RNAcentral's name for it is "SSU rRNA". It matches the Rfam family "Eukaryotic small subunit ribosomal RNA", at positions 591 to 1092 of the family's 1831-position model. The record is from RNAcentral. Lineage: Eukaryota; Fungi; Glomeromycota; Glomeromycetes; Diversisporales; Diversisporaceae.
CCAAUAGCGUAUAUUAAAGUUGUUGCAGUUAAAAAGCUCGUAGUUGAACUUCGGGGUUUACCCAUUGGUCAGGCUUAAUUGUCUGUACUGGUGAGAUAAAUCUCUACCUUCUGAGGAACUUUCAUGUCAUUAAUUUGGUGUGAUUGGAAAUCAGGACUGUUACUUUGAAAAAAUUAGAGUGUUUAAAGCAGGCUAACGUCUGAAUACAUUAGCAUGGAAUAAUGAAAUAGGACGGACUGAUUCUAUUUCGUUGGUUUCUAGGAUCACCGUAAUGAUUAAUAGGGAUAGUUGGGGGCAUUAGUAUUCAAUUGUCAGAGGUGAAAUUCUUGGAUUUAUUGAAGACUAACUACUGCGAAAGUAUUUGCCAAGGAUGUUUUCAUUAAUCAAGAACGAAAGUUAGGGGAUCGAAGACGAUCAGAUACCGUCGUAGUCUUAACCAUAAACUAUGCCGACUAGGGAUCGGACGAAGUUAAUUUUAUAAUGACGCGUUCGGCACCUUACG